This 513-nucleotide ribosomal RNA is filed under the name uncultured bacterium. Its description in RNAcentral is "partial 16S ribosomal RNA". It matches the Rfam family "Bacterial small subunit ribosomal RNA", at positions 28 to 523 of the family's 1533-position model. The record is from RNAcentral.
GAUGAACGCUGGCGGCGUGCCUAAUACAUGCAAGUAGAACGCUGAAGAGAGGAGCUCGCUCUUCUUGGAAGAGUUGCGAACGGGUGAGUAACGCGUAGGUAACCUGCCUUGUAGCGGGGGAUAACUAUUGGAAACGAUAGCUAAUACCGCAUAACAAUGGAUGACCCAUGUCAUUUAUUUGAAAGGGGCAACUGCUCCACUACAAGAUGGACCUGCGUUGUAUUAGCUAGUAGGUGAGGUAACGGCUCACCUAGGCGACGAUACAUAGCCGACCUGAGAGGGGGAUCGGCCACACUGGGACUGAGACACGGCCCAGGCUCCUCCGGGAGGCAGCAGUAGGGAAUCUUCGGCAAUGGGGGCAACCCUGACCGAGCAACGCCGCGUGAGUGAAGAAGGUUUUCGGAUCGUAAAGCUCUGUUGUAAGUCAAGAACGAGUGUGAGAGUGGAAAGUUCACACUGUGACGGUAGCUUACCAGAAAGGGACGGCUAACUACGUGCCAGCCGCCGCCGUAA